Molecule: ribosomal RNA, 728 nt
Filed under: uncultured organism
Description: SSU rRNA
Rfam family: Bacterial small subunit ribosomal RNA
Source: RNAcentral
UGCAACUGACACUGAUGCUGGAAAGUGUGAGUAUCAAACAGGAUUAGAUACCCUGGUAGUCCACACAGUAAACGAUGAAUACUCGCUGUUUGCGAUAUACAGUAAGCGGCCAAGCGAAAGCAUUAAGUAUUCCACCUGGGGAGUACGCCGGCAACGGUGAAACUCAAAGGAAUUGACGGGGGCCCGCACAAGCGGAGGAACAUGUGGUUCAAUUCGAUGAUACGCGAGGAACCUUACCCGGGCUUAAAUUGCAGUGGAAUGAUGUGGAAACAUGUCGGUGGGCAAUCACCGCUGUGAAGGUGCUGCAUGGUUGUCGUCAGCUCGUGCCGUGAGGUGUCGGCUUAAGUGCCAUAACGAGCGCAACCCUUAUCUUUAGUUACUAACAGGUCAUGCUGAGGACUCUAGAGAGACUGCCGUCGUAAGAUGUGAGGAAGGUGGGGAUGACGUCAAAUCAGCACGGCCCUUACGUCCGGGGCUACACACGUGUUACAAUGGGGGGUACAGAAGGCAGCUAGCGGGUGACCGUAUGCUAAUCCCAAAAUCCUCUCUCAGUUCGGAUCGAAGUCUGCAACCCGACUUCGUGAAGCUGGAUUCGCUAGUAAUCGCGCAUCAGCCACGGCGCGGUGAAUACGUUCCCGGGCCUUGUACACACCGCCCGUCAAGCCAUGGGAGCCGGGGGUACCUGAAGUACGUAACCGCAAGGAUCGUCCUAGGGUAAAACUGGUGAC